Molecule: ribosomal RNA, 253 nt
Filed under: uncultured bacterium
Lineage: Bacteria
Description: partial 16S ribosomal RNA
Rfam family: Bacterial small subunit ribosomal RNA
Source: RNAcentral
UACGUAGGUGGCAAGCGUUGUCCGGAUUUACUGGGUGUAAAGGGCGUGUAGCCGGGCUGACAAGUCAGAUGUGAAAUCCGGGGGCUCAACCCCCGAACUGCAUUUGAAACUGUUGGUCUUGAGUAUCGGAGAGGCAGGCGGAAUUCCUAGUGUAGCGGUGAAAUGCGUAGAUAUUAGGAGGAACACCAGUGGCGAAGGCGACUUACUGGACUGUAACUGACGUUGAGGCACGAAAGUGUGGGGAGCAAACAGG